Molecule: ribosomal RNA, 222 nt
Filed under: uncultured bacterium
Lineage: Bacteria
Description: partial 16S ribosomal RNA
Rfam family: Bacterial small subunit ribosomal RNA
Source: RNAcentral
GAUCAUGGCUCAGGAUGAACGCUGGCGGCGUGCCUAACACAUGCAAGUCGAGCGAAGCACUUUGCUUAGAUUCUUCGGAUGAAGAGGAUUGUGACUGAGCGGCGGACGGGUGAGUAACGCGUGGGUAACCUGCCUCAUACAGGGGGAUAACAGUUAGAAAUGACUGCUAAUACCGCAUAAGACCACAGCACCGCAUGGUGCGGGGGUAAAAACUCCGGUUGU